CCCGCACAAGCGGUGGAGCAUGUGGUUUAAUUCGAAGCAACGCGAAGAACCUUACCAGGUCUUGACAUCCCCUGACAACCCGAGAGAUCGGGCGUUCCCCCUUCGGGGGGACAGGGUGACAGGUGGUGCAUGGUUGUCGUCAGCUCGUGUCGUGAGAUGUUGGGUUAAGUCCCGCAACGAGCGCAACCCUCGACCUUAGUUGCCAGCAUUCAGUUGGGGCACCCUAAGGUGACUGCCGGCUAAAAGUCGGAGGAAGGUGGGGAUGACGUCAAAUCAUCAUGCCCCUUAUGACCUGGGCUACACACGUGCUACAAUGGGCGGUACAAAGGGUCGCGAACCCGCGAGGGGGAGCCAAUCCCAAAAAGCCGCUCUCAGUUCGGAUUGCAGGCUGCAACUCGCCUGCAUGAAGCCGGAAUCGCUAGUAACCGCAGGUCAGCAAUACUGCGGUGAAUACGUUCCCGGGUCUU
This 467-nucleotide ribosomal RNA is filed under the name uncultured Anoxybacillus sp. RNAcentral's name for it is "bacterial SSU rRNA". It matches the Rfam family "Bacterial small subunit ribosomal RNA", at positions 920 to 1382 of the family's 1533-position model. The record is from RNAcentral. Lineage: Bacteria; Bacillati; Bacillota; Bacilli; Caryophanales; Anoxybacillaceae.